RNAcentral lists this long non-coding RNA (242 nucleotides) under Elaeis guineensis (African oil palm). RNAcentral describes it as "long non-coding RNA (EGUI_LNC040753)". Lineage: Eukaryota; Viridiplantae; Streptophyta; Magnoliopsida; Arecales; Arecaceae. The record is from RNAcentral.
ACAAGAUCUUAAAUAGCAAAAAAAUAUCCCAACAUAAACAACUUAAGCUACCAUAAAAUAUAGUAGCAAAGCCUCUUCAUCAAAAAAUGCUCCUCCAAUAUUUGCAUCUCUUGAGCUAGUUGACCCAGAAGCUAGAUUUAGAAUGCCCUUUUCAGAUGAACUAAUCAAUGAACUCAAUACUAAGAUGUCAUCCUCAAAAAUCAAAGAUUCCAUAAACUAUUUAUCUAAAGAAAAUUCUGAAA